Molecule: long non-coding RNA, 183 nt
Organism: Sander lucioperca (pikeperch)
Lineage: Eukaryota; Metazoa; Chordata; Actinopteri; Perciformes; Percidae
Exons: 2
Source: RefSeq, a predicted model, not a curated record
CGGAAAUUCCGCCAGAUGUCUUUCAUUUCGGGCGGAUGUCUGUUACCUUCCGCUUUCUUUGUGUUGGCAUUUUAAACCCCAGUCGAUUUAUGAGACUAUGGUUAAAUGCUCCUCAGAUUUCUGCAGGGUAAAUCCAGACAGCUAGCUAGACUAUCUGUCCAAUUUGAGUUUUCUGUUGCACGA